UACGAAGGGGGCAAGCGUUGUUCGGAAUUACUGGGCGUAAAGGGCGCGUAGGCGGUGCACUAAGUCAGGCGUGAAAGCCCUGGGCUCAACCCGGGAAUUGCGCUUGAUACUGGUGCGCUUGAAUCCAGGAGAGGUUGGUGGAAUUCCCAGUGUAGAGGUGAAAUUCGUAGAGAUUGGGAAGAACACCGGUGGCGAAGGCGGCCAACUGGACUGGUAU
Molecule: ribosomal RNA, 217 nt
Filed under: uncultured bacterium
Lineage: Bacteria
Description: partial 16S ribosomal RNA
Rfam family: Bacterial small subunit ribosomal RNA
Source: RNAcentral